RNAcentral lists this ribosomal RNA (253 nucleotides) under uncultured bacterium. RNAcentral describes it as "partial 16S ribosomal RNA". It matches the Rfam family "Bacterial small subunit ribosomal RNA", at positions 524 to 776 of the family's 1533-position model. The record is from RNAcentral.
UACGAAGGGGGCUAGCGUUGUUCGGAAUUACUGGGCGUAAAGCGCGCGCAGGCGGCUAUCCAAGUCAGUGGUGAAAGCCCGGAGCUCAACUCCGGAACUGCCAUUGAAACUGUUUAGCUUGAGGAUGAGAGAGGUGAGUGGAAUUCCCAGUGUAGAGGUGAAACUCGUAGAUAUUGGGAAGAACACCGGUGGCGAAGGCGGCUCACUGGCUCAUUACUGACGCUCAGGCGCGAUAGCGUGGGGAUCAAACAGG